GCAUUGGUAGUUCAGUGGUAGAAUUCUUGCCUUUCAUGUGAGGACCCAGGUUCAAUUCCCGGCCAAUGCA
Non-coding RNA from Trichechus manatus latirostris (Florida manatee), 70 nucleotides. The record is from the annotation of a RefSeq genome assembly. NCBI's taxonomy places the organism in Eukaryota, Metazoa, Chordata, Mammalia, Sirenia, Trichechidae.